GUUUCAGCUCUCAUACAGAUAUGAUCAGAGGAUGGAGAAGUAGGGGACAGUGCAGUGUAGUGCAAAAAGUGCUGGCUCUGAGGUCAGUAGGAUAAGGUUUGAAUCCCAAUUCUGUCACUUGUUAGUGGGGUGGCUUAGGCAAGUGACUUAACACUUCUGAACUUGGUUUUCUUUUUUGUAAAAUAAAGAUAAUAAAAUCUACCAGAUGUGCCAGAAGUUACCUAGAGAAUAUGACCAGGAAUCGAAUUACUGGGAACGAACCUGAGGACAGCCCACUGAUGGAGGGGGAUCAUCACCGUCUCACUGCUCACAGGGAAGGAAGGCUUACUUGUCUCCAAUCUUCUCAAACAACAGAAAAAUAUAUUUUACUUCAAAAAAUAUUUAAAUCAGCUGUCCAGCUAUGCUCAAUGAGCCCUCCAAGCCACCCUGCAUCAUUCACCUCGCUUGGCUUUCCCUGGCUGGCCUUCCCAUUCGGAUCGGUCCCUGCCACCGCUCUUUGCCUGUGCGCCCGCGCCCUCAAGUCCUUUUCUCAGGACUUUACUGAUGAGAAAUAAAUCUGGUG
Manis pentadactyla (Chinese pangolin) is the source of this 562-nucleotide long non-coding RNA. RefSeq lists it as uncharacterized. The record is from RefSeq and is a predicted model, not a curated record. The transcript is spliced from 3 exons. NCBI's taxonomy places the organism in Eukaryota, Metazoa, Chordata, Mammalia, Pholidota, Manidae.